AAUUUCUGUAAUAUUCUCUUAAUAUACAGCUCAUACUAAUCCUCUCCUUUCUUUUUCUCUCUUGCAUGUCCUGAGCUGCUGCCUUGAAGUGCCCAUCCCUCUCCAGCGGAAUUUUCUAAAACCAUUCUAACCCCUUUUCUUCCCUCCCCUCUCUGUUUUUUCUUACAUUCGCAUGUGCUGAGAUGCCCAGCCGGCCUGCCUGGAUGCCUCCAUUUGAACUGACCUUUUAAACUACAAUUCCGAGUUUGUGAGUAGUGUGCCAAGUCGUGCUGGAAAAUGAAAUCUGCAUCUCCAACAGUCUGUCAUGUCUGGUGCUGAAAGCACGUCUGUGUCUCCCACAUCCAGCUCUAUCUGCGAUUCUCACAGUAACAACUACAAUACCCAGAACGCACCACUCCAUGACACAACACACACUCCCAAUCACAUGACACAUCACAUGACGCCACCAGGAAGCCCCGAGUACUGAUUAUCCACAGUAUUUAAGGACCAUGCUCACGCUCACACCUCGCCGAGUAUCUGUUUGGUAAUACCUACAAUACAAAGCGUUUCUCUUGCCCUUGCUAUCUUCCGUGUAUGAUCUUGUUUUUGUUUUCUACCGACUUUGAUUUUUGCCUGCUCCCUUGUGUUGGAUACCCGUGUAUGACCUGGACUGUUUAUAGUACUUUGGAUUUUUGCCUACCCUGUUAUACUGCCUACCCGUGUAUGAACUCUGGACUGUCUUCCGUUUAUGGUAUGGUUUCUCUACACUGUGUGUUUUUGGUACUGACCCUGUUUCCGUUGACUACCCCUGUCUGCUCUAUAACUUUAAAUAAAGUUAUUUUAUUGUA
Molecule: long non-coding RNA, 827 nt
Organism: Astyanax mexicanus (Mexican tetra)
Lineage: Eukaryota; Metazoa; Chordata; Actinopteri; Characiformes; Acestrorhamphidae
Exons: 2
Source: RefSeq, a predicted model, not a curated record